GAGGCAAUAGAAAACUGAGACUUGACUGCCUCUGGGUUUUGUAUCCCUGCUCCGAAAACCCCUCUUGUAAGCAUAACUGCGUCUCUUCGGACCUUCCUCCCUCUGCCCCUCUGGCAUGUGUUCUGGGCCCUGCAAAGGUUGCUCUUUACUGGGUUUUGUCAAGCCAACACAAAAUAAAUAUUUUCGGUUCCUUAAAGCUGGCGAGAGUAGGGGAGAGAUCAAGUGACAGCGCCUGGGAAUCAAUGCAGUCUCAUGCAACAGCAGGCUGGGUUCCGUGCAGGCUGGGAGCCUCGGAUUAGGAACACAUGGCCAGGGCUAGGUUGGUCCCUCCAGCGCCUCUCUUGACACGUGGGAGUUGAUGUGGAUCUAAGGAAGAAAUCAACAGCAAUAACAAAUCAAGCGUCAGGUGCUGUCAGGCCCGUGGAUUCUCCAAGUCUUGUAAAUAUCUCCCUCAGGCCAGAGAUGCCCUUAUUCCCAGACUUACCAAAUUGGAGGAUGGGUGGGAAGAGGUGCCCUGCCAAUCAGGAAGAGGAGCAAAAUCGCUCUGCUGGAGGAUCAUUAAAGAAAACAAAUCCUGGGGAGUGCUGAGCUCAAAUGUUUAAAAAAUCACACUUAGUGCAAAUAAAAACCUCAGAAAGUUGUGCCUGUUGUGGGUUUUCUCCCUUAGGAGAAUGCGAUUCUGGCAUCCAGUAGAAGAGCCAUCUGAAAUGAAGCCACACGGAGGCUCAGAGAGUCCCAUCCCUGUUCUCUGUCAGGGUGGGUGGCAGGAACUCUUCAUGAUAGAAAAAUAUCGAUCUCAUCCUUUCCAAAGCACGUUGCAGGAGUCAGGAAUGGGGAGACCACGAUGGAUUCCUGUCGCAAACAGAGAUUGUGGAAACAAAAUAUGUUUAAAUCUUAAGGUGUUUGUUCUAAGGUUGCACACUGUCAGACCAUCCUGCAUUUGAAUCAUCCCCGGUCAUCUGUUUGAGAUCCAUUCUAUCCUCCCUGAAGUCUUGCUCUACAAACCACUCAUCUUUUUCAAGCAAACGAUCUCUCUUCCUCUAGGAAGUGUUUUGCCACCCCCCUCCCCACGCUUCGGGAUGCCCUAUGUUUCUGUGGCCCUGCCGGCCUGUAGCCCUCCAUCCUGGCAUUUGGUCUCAGAUCCCCUUGCAUGAUUAUUCAUUUAUGUAUUUAUGUCUCCACUGCAAAGACCGUCAAGAAUGGGGAGAACACAAUGGAUUCCUGUUGCAAACAGUGAUUGUGCAGACAAGAUCAUGCCUACUCUCUGUCCUUUAUAAAUCCCGGUACAUUCAGUGACCACAGACGUAUGUUUCCAAAGAGAGAGUAAACUCCUUGAAGACCAAGUUAAUGGAUUUCCUUUCUCUUCUCCAUAUUUGCCACACACAGUGUCCGGUGCUGAGUACUUGUCAAUGGCCUGGGCAGAGGCUGUGAGAAAUGGCAGGGACCAGACCAACGCAGAGUGACUUCAACUUGUCACCAAAGGGAAGGAAUGAGAAUAUUCUACAUCCGGCUCAUGUUCUUCACACUAGAUGAGCAUCCAGAAGCCUCAUUAGGAUCCCUCAGGAAAGGUAAAGAUGACAAUGAUAAUAGCAGAGAGCUGUAGCAAUCCUUUUGAGUUUCUGUUAUGUACAACCAAGACUUUUGAGUAAUACUGUGAUUUUUCAGUAAUUUCCCAAUAAAGGCUGAGUAGAGGCAUCA
RNAcentral lists this long non-coding RNA (1698 nucleotides) under Sus scrofa (pig). RNAcentral describes it as "lncRNA (ENSSSCG00060053585.1)". Lineage: Eukaryota; Metazoa; Chordata; Mammalia; Artiodactyla; Suidae. The record is from RNAcentral.